Molecule: non-coding RNA, 23 nt
Filed under: Cricetulus griseus (Chinese hamster)
Lineage: Eukaryota; Metazoa; Chordata; Mammalia; Rodentia; Cricetidae
Also listed under: 1 other name
Source: RNAcentral
GGAGGCUGAGACAGGAGGAUCGC